This is a non-coding RNA of Caenorhabditis elegans, 129 nucleotides long. The record is from Ensembl. NCBI's taxonomy places the organism in Eukaryota, Metazoa, Nematoda, Chromadorea, Rhabditida, Rhabditidae.
CCUUUUGAGAUUUUUUGAUGAUUGAUAGACAGCUAUCAUUUAUCAGUUCCAAAUAUGUUUCUCUCUGGCGGUCCCGGCUAAUUGAUUGCCUAUCACGGUGUCGGUGUCACUGAAGAAGACAAAUCAGCG